Molecule: ribosomal RNA, 253 nt
Filed under: uncultured bacterium
Lineage: Bacteria
Description: partial 16S ribosomal RNA
Rfam family: Bacterial small subunit ribosomal RNA
Source: RNAcentral
UACGUAGGGUGCAAGCGUUGUCCGGAAUUAUUGGGCGUAAAGAGCUUGUAGGCGGUUUGUCGCGUCUGCUGUGAAAUUUCGGGGCUCAACCCCGAACUUGCAGUGGGUACGGGCAGACUAGAGUGUGGUAGGGGAGACUGGAAUUCCUGGUGUAGCGGUGAAAUGCGCAGAUAUCAGGAGGAACACCGAUGGCAAAGGCAGGUCUCUGGGCCACUACUGACGCUGAGAAGCGAAAGCAUGGGGAGCGAACAGG